CCUACGGGAGGCAGCAGUGAGGACUAUUGGUCAAUGGCCGGACGGCUGAACCAGCCAAGCCGCGUGAAGGACGACGGUGCCAAGCAUUGUAAACUUCUUUUGUCAAGGGACAACAUCAGGCUCGAGAGCCUGACCGAGGGUACUUGAAGAAAAAGCAUCCGCUAACUCCGUGCCAGCAGCCCCGGUAAUACGGAGGCUGCGAGCUUUAUCCGGAUUUAUUUGGUUUAAAGGGUGCGUAGGCGGACUGUUAAGUUAGCGGUAAAAGCCCGGGGCCCAACCCCGGCGAGCCGUUGAACCUGGCUGUCUUGAGAUGUCGAGAGGUAUGCGGAAUGCGCAGUGUAGCGGGGAAAUGCUUAGAUAUUGCGCAGAACUCCGAUUGCGAAGGAAGCAUACCGGCGGCGAUCUGACGCUGAGGCACGAAAGCGUGGGUAUCGAACAGGAUUAGAUACCCUUGUAGUC
RNAcentral lists this ribosomal RNA (459 nucleotides) under uncultured bacterium. RNAcentral's name for it is "partial 16S ribosomal RNA". It matches the Rfam family "Bacterial small subunit ribosomal RNA", at positions 338 to 795 of the family's 1533-position model. The record is from RNAcentral.